AGUGAACGCUGGCGGCGUGCCUAAUACAUGCAAGUCGAACGCGAAAGUCCUUCGGGAUGAGUAAAGUGGCGUACGGGUGAGUAACACGUAGGUAAUCUACCCCAGAGUCUGGAAUAACCUGCCGAAAGGCGGGCUAAUACUGGAUAGAGCGACGGAAUCCGUAAUUGGGUUUUUCGGGAAAGGGAGCUGGCAACAGCCCUCGCUUUGGGAUGAGCCUGCGUCUCAUUAGCUAGUUGGUGAGGUAAUGGCUCACCAAGGCUUUGAUGGGUAGCUGGUCUGAGAGGAUGAUCAGCCACACUGGAACUGAAACACGGUCCAGACUCCUACGGGAGGCAGCAGUGGGGAAUCUUGCGCAAUGGACGAAAGUCUGACGCAGCCACGCCGCGUGAGUGAAGAAGGCCUUCGGGUUGUAAAGCUCUGUCGGGAGGGACGAAAAUCGUUUAGGUGAAUAGCCUAGGCGACUGACGGUACCUUCAAAGGAAGCACCGGCUAACUUCGUGCCAGCAGCCGCGGUAA
RNAcentral lists this ribosomal RNA (516 nucleotides) under uncultured bacterium. RNAcentral's name for it is "partial 16S ribosomal RNA". It matches the Rfam family "Bacterial small subunit ribosomal RNA", at positions 29 to 523 of the family's 1533-position model. The record is from RNAcentral.